GACGAACGCUGGCGGCGUGCUUAACACAUGCAAGUCGAACGGAAAGGCCCUGCUUUUGUGGGGUGCUCGAGUGGCGAACGGGUGAGUAACACGUGAGUAACCUGCCCUUGACUUUGGGAUAACUUCAGGAAACUGGGGCUAAUACCGGAUAGGAGCUCCUGCUGCAUGGUGGGGGUUGGAAAGUUUCGGCGGUUGGGGAUGGACUCGCGGCUUAUCAGCUUGUUGGUGGGGUAGUGGCUUACCAAGGCUUUGACGGGUAGCCGGCCUGAGAGGGUGACCGGCCACAUUGGGACUGAGAUACGGCCCAGACGUCUACGGGAGGCAGCAGUGGGGAAUAUUGCACAAUGGGCGGAAGCCUGAUGCAGCAACGCCGCGUGCGGGAUGACGGCCUUCGGGUUGUAAACCGCUUUCGCCUGUGACGAAGCGUGAGUGACGGUAAUGGGUAAAGAAGCACCGGCUAACUACGUG
RNAcentral lists this ribosomal RNA (468 nucleotides) under uncultured bacterium. RNAcentral describes it as "partial 16S ribosomal RNA". It matches the Rfam family "Bacterial small subunit ribosomal RNA", at positions 28 to 507 of the family's 1533-position model. The record is from RNAcentral.